RNAcentral lists this ribosomal RNA (487 nucleotides) under uncultured eukaryote. RNAcentral's name for it is "SSU rRNA". It matches the Rfam family "Eukaryotic small subunit ribosomal RNA", at positions 383 to 889 of the family's 1831-position model. The record is from RNAcentral.
CCGGAGAGGGAGCCUGAGAAACGGCUACCACAUCUACGGAAGGCAGCAGGCGCGUAAAUUACCCAAUCCUGAUUCGAGGGAGGUAGUGACAAGAAAUAACAACUCGGGGCCUCACGGCUUACGAGAUUGCAAUGAGAACAAUUUAAAUCUCUUAGCGAGGAACAAUUGGAGGGCAAGUCUGGUGCCAGCAGCCGCGGUAAUUCCAGCUCCAAUAGCGUAUAUUAAAGUUGUUGCAGUUAAAAAGCUCGUAGUUGAAUUUCUGAUUAUGGAUGUAGCGGUUUCCGUUACAUUUGUAGUCAUCCACAUGAGAACCUUUCUCGGCCUUCACUGGUCGGUUGGGGGAUCAUGUACUUUACUUUGAAAAAAUCAGAGUGUUUCAGGCAGGCGUUUUGCAUGAAUACACAAGCAUGGAAUAAUGGAAUAGGACUAGGGUCCAUUUUUAUUGGUUAUUGGACCAUAGUAAUGAUUAAUAGGGACAGUUGGGGGC